GAUUGCAGGCUGCAACUCGCCUGCAUGAAGUUGGAAUUGCUAGUAAUCGCGAAUCAGAAUGUCGCGGUGAAUACGUUCCCGGGCCUUGUACACACCGCCCGUCACACCAUGAGAGCCGAUAACACCCGAAGCCUGUGAGCUAACCGUAAGGGGGCAGCAGUCGAAGGUGGGGUUGGUGAUUGGGGUGAAGUCGUAACAAGGUACC
This 205-nucleotide ribosomal RNA is filed under the name uncultured bacterium. Its description in RNAcentral is "partial 16S ribosomal RNA". It matches the Rfam family "Bacterial small subunit ribosomal RNA", at positions 1296 to 1500 of the family's 1533-position model. The record is from RNAcentral.